GGGCGAUUAGCUCAGUUGGUAGAGCACCUCGCUUACACCGAGGCUGUCGGCGGUUCGAGCCCGUCAUCGCCCA
Molecule: transfer RNA, 73 nt
Filed under: Roseiflexaceae bacterium
Lineage: Bacteria; Bacillati; Chloroflexota; Chloroflexia; Chloroflexales; Roseiflexaceae
Rfam family: tRNA
About the family: Transfer RNA (tRNA) molecules are approximately 80 nucleotides in length. Their secondary structure includes four short double-helical elements and three loops (D, anti-codon, and T loops). Further hydrogen bonds mediate the characteristic L-shaped molecular structure. tRNAs have two regions of fundamental functional importance: the anti-codon, which is responsible for specific mRNA codon recognition, and the 3' end, to which the tRNAs corresponding amino acid is attached (by aminoacyl-tRNA synthetases). tRNAs cope with the degeneracy of the genetic code in two manners: having more than one tRNA (with a specific anti-codon) for a particular amino acid; and 'wobble' base-pairing, i.e. permitting non-standard base-pairing at the 3rd anti-codon position.
Source: Rfam by way of RNAcentral